RNAcentral lists this ribosomal RNA (474 nucleotides) under uncultured bacterium. RNAcentral describes it as "partial 16S ribosomal RNA". It matches the Rfam family "Bacterial small subunit ribosomal RNA", at positions 28 to 507 of the family's 1533-position model. The record is from RNAcentral.
GACGAACGCUGGCGGCGUGCUUAACACAUGCCAGUCGAACGGUAAGGCCCUUCGGGGUCCCCGAGUGGCGAACGGGUGCGUAACACGUGGGUAAUCUGCCCUGCACAUCGGGAUAAGCCUGGGAAACUGGGUCUAAUACCGAAUAGGACCACAGGACACAUGUCCUGUGUUGGGAAGCUUUUGCGGUGUGGGAUGGGCCCGCGGCCUAUCAGCUUGUUGGUGGGGUUAUGGCCUACCAAGGCGACGACGGGUAGCCGGACUGAGAGGGUGUCCGGCCACACGGGGACGGAGAUACGGCCCAGGCUCCGACGGGGGGUAGCAGUGGGGAAUAUUGCACAAUGGGCGAAAGCCUGAUGCAGCGACGCAGCGUGGGGGAUGACGGCCGUCGGGUUGUAAACCUCUUUCACCACCGAUGAAGGUCGGGGUUUUCUCGGGCUGACGGUAGGUGGAGAAGAAGCACCGGCCAACUACGUG